UGGGGAAUCUUGCACAAUGGGGGCAACCCUGAUGCAGCGACGCCGCGUGAGCGAUGAAGCCCUUCGGGGCGUAAAGCUCUUUCGACCGGAACGAUAAUGACGGUACCGGGAGAAGAAGCUGCGGCUAACUACGUGCCAGCAGCCGCGGUAAUACGUAGGCAGCAAGCGUUGUUCGGAGUUACUGGGCGUAAAGAGUGCGUAGGCGGUUUUCUAAGUUCGGUGUGAAAUCUCCCGGCUUAACUGGGAGGGUGCGCCGAAGACUGGGAAGCUGGAGUGUGGGAAAGGCAGGCGGAAUUCCUGGUGUAGCGGUGAAAUGCGUAGAUAUCAGGAGGAACACCGGCGGUGUAGACGGCUUGCUAGACCAUAACUGUCGCUGAGGCACGAAAGCGUGGGUAGCAAACA
Molecule: ribosomal RNA, 402 nt
Filed under: uncultured bacterium
Lineage: Bacteria
Description: bacterial SSU rRNA
Rfam family: Bacterial small subunit ribosomal RNA
Source: RNAcentral